CUACUCACUUUGGCAGCACAUAUGCCAAAAUUGGAAAGAUACAGAGAAGAUUAGCCUGGAUCCAGGGCAAGAAUGACAUGCAAAUUCACGAAAUAUUAUAUACUUUU
Diceros bicornis minor is the source of this 107-nucleotide small nuclear RNA. Lineage: Eukaryota; Metazoa; Chordata; Mammalia; Perissodactyla; Rhinocerotidae. The record is from RefSeq and is a predicted model, not a curated record.